Molecule: ribosomal RNA, 497 nt
Filed under: uncultured bacterium
Lineage: Bacteria
Description: partial 16S ribosomal RNA
Rfam family: Bacterial small subunit ribosomal RNA
Source: RNAcentral
GACGAACGCUGGCGGCGUGCCUAAUACAUGCAAGUUGAGCGCUGAAGGUUGGUACUUGUACCAACUGGAUGAGCAGCGAACGGGUGAGUAACGCGUGGGGAAUCUGCCUUUGAGCGGGGGACAACAUUUGGAAACGAAUGCUAAUACCGCAUAAAAACUUUAAACACAAGUUUUAAGUUUGAAAGAUGCAAUUGCAUCACUCAAAGAUGAUCCCGCGUUGUAUUAGCUAGUUGGUGAGGUAAAGGCUCACCAAGGCGAUGAUACAUAGCCGACCUGAGAGGGUGAGCGGCCACAUUGGGACUGAGACACGGCCCAAACUCCUACGGGAGGCAGCAGUAGGGAAUCUUCGGCAAUGGACGAAAGUCUGACCGAGCAACGCCGCGUGAGUGAAGAAGGUUUUCGGAUCGGAAAACUCUGUUGGUAGAGAAGAACGUUGGUGAGAGUGGAAAGCUCAUUAAGUGACGGUAACUACCCAGAAAGGGACGGCUAACUACGUG